Molecule: ribosomal RNA, 819 nt
Filed under: uncultured bacterium
Lineage: Bacteria
Description: bacterial SSU rRNA
Rfam family: Bacterial small subunit ribosomal RNA
Source: RNAcentral
AGAGUUUGAUCAUGGCUCAGAGCGAACGCUGGCGGCAGGCUUAACACAUGCAAGUCGAGCGGGCGUAGCAAUACGUCAGCGGCAGACGGGUGAGUAACGCGUGGGAACGUACCUUUUGGUUCGGAACAACACAGGGAAACUUGUGCUAAUACCGGAUAAGCCCUUACGGGGAAAGAUUUAUCGCCGAAAGAUCGGCCCGCGUCUGAUUAGCUAGUUGGUGAGGUAACGGCUCACCAAGGCGACGAUCAGUAGCUGGUCUGAGAGGAUGAUCAGCCACAUUGGGACUGAGACACGGCCCAAACUCCUACGGGAGGCAGCAGUGGGGAAUAUUGGACAAUGGGCGCAAGCCUGAUCCAGCCAUGCCGCGUGAGUGAUGAAGGCCCUAGGGUUGUAAAGCUCUUUUGUGCGGGAAGAUAAUGACGGUACCGCAAGAAUAAGCCCCGGCUAACUUCGUGCCAGCAGCCGCGGUAAUACGAAGGGGGCUAGCGUUGCUCGGAAUCACUGGGCGUAAAGGGUGCGUAGGCGGGUCUUUAAGUCAGGGGUGAAAUCCUGGAGCUCAACUCCAGAACUGCCUUUGAUACUGAGGAUCUUGAGUUCGGGAGAGGUGAGUGGAACUGCGAGUGUAGAGGUGAAAUUCGUAGAUAUACGCAAGAACACCAGUGGCGAAGGCGGCUCACUGGCCCGAUACUGACGCUGAGGCACGAAAGCGUGGGGAGCAAACAGGAUUAGAUACCCUGGUAGUCCACGCCGUAAACGAUGAAUGCCAGCCGUUAGUGGGUUUACUCACUAGUGGCGCAGCUAACGCUUUAAGCAUUCCGC